Molecule: ribosomal RNA, 681 nt
Filed under: Toensbergia geminipara
Lineage: Eukaryota; Fungi; Ascomycota; Lecanoromycetes; Rhizocarpales; Sporastatiaceae
Description: SSU rRNA
Rfam family: Bacterial small subunit ribosomal RNA
Source: RNAcentral
GUUCUAGGUGGAGUUAUGAUAAUGACAUUAUCUAUCUAUGUGUCUUGACCAAAUCACGUGCCAGCAGUCGCGGUAAUACGUGGAAGACUAGUGUUAUUCAUCUUUAAUAGGUUUAAAGGGUACUUAGACGGUAUAUCAAGCCCAAAAAGGGCACUAAUAUACUAGAGUUUUAUGUGAGGGGGUAAAAAAGUACCGGUGGAGUAGAGAUGAAAUUCUGUCAUACCACAGGGAAACAGGUAAAGGCGAAGGCGACCCUUUAUGUAUAAACUGACGUUGAAGGACGAAGGCUUGGGCAAUGAACAGGAUUAGAUACCCCAGUAGUCUUAGCAGACAAUGAUGAAUGUCAUAGAAUGGAUUUAAUUUUUCUAUAAAUGAAAGUGUAAGCAUUCCACCUCAAGAGUAAUUUGGCAACAUAGAAACUGAAAUCAUUAGACCGUUUCUGAAACCAGUUGUGAAGUAUGUUGUUUAAUUUGAUGAUCCGCAAAAAACCUUACCACAGUUUGAAUAUUUAUAUUUUUACAAGCGUUGCACGGCUGUCUUUAGUUAAUGUCGUGAGAUUUUGGUUAGUUCCAUUAAAUUAACGUGAACCCUUACUUUAUUUAUUAUAAAGUAGUUCCCCGCUAUAUUGGAUAUGAUAAAAGGGAUUAAGACAAGUCAUCAUGACCUUAAUAUUGUGGCUAU